This 837-nucleotide small RNA is filed under the name Pongo abelii (Sumatran orangutan). Its description in RNAcentral is "processed transcript". Lineage: Eukaryota; Metazoa; Chordata; Mammalia; Primates; Hominidae. The record is from RNAcentral.
AGAGAAGAGUGUCCAGCUCCUCCAGAGGCUGCCCGCCCGCCGCUCCUUCCCUGCCCACCUACUAUGAGGAGCAGCUCCUCCCACCUGCCCAUAAAAGCCAAGUGCAUGUUACCAGCAGCAGAUCACAGCCCUUCCCCGAUCCUCUCCGUGGGAGCCCGCGAGCCUCUCUCCCUGAUCUUACGUGCUCAAGGGAGUUCACACAUUCACCAACUCACCCUGGAAAUCAUCUCAAGAACGAAAGACAACUGAAAGUUUCUGCAUGAUCUUAGAAAUUUGCCAAAUAUAAACAUGUCAAUGUGAAGUUAAGAAGUGAGACUCACCUGUCCCUGCACAGUCUAUACUAUGCCCUUUCACAAUAGGAUCCAGUUUCACCUAUGGAAUGAGAAAGUUGGGGAAGAAUUCAUCUAGCAUCUUGCCACUCAAAGUGUGGUCCAUGGACCAGCAGCAUCAGCAUCACCUGGGAUCUUCUUGGAAGAAAUGUAGAAACUCAGGCCUCACCCCAGAAUCUGCCUUUUUAUAAGAUCCCCAGGUGGGCCAGUACACAGGUUUGCUAACUCUGUUCCUGGCCCCUGAGACCACUCUCUACCUACCUCACUGCCACCCAGCCACCCUCAUGGGGCUUCACUCUAAGGGAAGAAUUAGCAGUGAGCUUUUUUUUUUUUUUUUUAAAAAAAAAAAAAAAAAAAGCAUCUAGUAAUCCAAGCCCUCUCUUUCAACAGGUAAGGUAACUGAGGCCCAGAGAGGUAAAGUUGAUUUCCUGAAACCAAACAGCUAAUUAGGAACAGAACCCAGAUUUUGUUAUUAGUUUUCCAGUGUGCUUUAUGAUAACGUUUCAAG